GACGAACGCUGGCGGCGUGCUUAACACAUGCAAGUCGAACGGAAAGGCCCUGCUUGCAGGGUGCUCGAGUGGCGAACGGGUGAGUAACACGUGGGUGAUCUGCCCCUUACUUUGGGAUAAGCCUGGGAAACUGGGUCUAAUACUGGAUAGGACCAUGCUGUAGGUGGUGUGGUGGAAAGAUUAGUUUCGGUAAGGGAUGAGCUCGCGGCCUAUCAGCUUGUUGGUGGGGUAAUGGCCUACCAAGGCGUCGACGGGUAGCCGGCCUGAGAGGGUGGACGGCCACAUUGGGACUGAGAGACGGCCCAGACGCCUACGGGAGGCAGCAGUGGGGAAUAUUGCACAAUGGGCGCAAGCCUGAUGCAGCGACGCCGCGUGGGGGAUGACGGCCUUCGGGUUGUAAACUCCUUUCAGCCAUGACGAAGCCCUUGUGGUGACGGUAGUGGUAGAAGAAGCACCGGCUAACUACGUG
Molecule: ribosomal RNA, 469 nt
Filed under: uncultured bacterium
Lineage: Bacteria
Description: partial 16S ribosomal RNA
Rfam family: Bacterial small subunit ribosomal RNA
Source: RNAcentral